This 497-nucleotide ribosomal RNA is filed under the name uncultured bacterium. Its description in RNAcentral is "partial 16S ribosomal RNA". It matches the Rfam family "Bacterial small subunit ribosomal RNA", at positions 28 to 507 of the family's 1533-position model. The record is from RNAcentral.
GAUGAACGCUGGCGGCGUGCCUAAUACAUGCAAGUCGAGCGAACAGACGAGUAGCUUGCUCCUUUGACGUUAGCGGCGGACGGGUGAGUUACACGUAGGUAACCUACCUAUAAGACUGGGAUAACUUCGGGACACCGUAGCUAAUACCGGCUAAUAUUUCGAACCGCAUGGUUCGAUAGUGAAAGAUGGCUUUGCUAUCACUUAUAGAUGGACCUGCGCCGUAUUAGCUAGUUGGUAAGGUAACGGCUUACCAAGGCAACGAUACGUAGCCGACCUGAGAGGGUGAUCGGCCACACUGGAACUGAGACACGGUCCAGACUCCUACGGGAGGCAGCAGUAGGGAAUCUUCCGCAAUGGGCGAAAGCCUGACGGAGCAACGCCGCGUGAGUGAUGAAGGUCUUCGGAUCGUAAAACUCUGUUAUUAGGGAAGAACAAACGUGUAAGUAACUGUGCACGUCUUGACGGUACCUAAUCAGAAAGCCACGGCUAACUACGUG